CGUAGGGUGCGAGCGUUAAUCGGGAAUUACUGGGCGUAAAGCGUGCGCAGGCGGUUAUGCAAGACAGAUGUGAAAUCCCCGGGCUCAACCUGGGAACUGCAUUUGUGACUGCAUGGCUAGAGUACGGUAGAGGGGAUGGAAUUCCGCGUGUAGCAGUGAAAUGCGUAGAUAUGCGGAGGAACGCCGAUGGCGAAGGCAAUCCCCUGGACCUGUACUGACGCUCAUGCACGAAAGCGUGGGAGCAAACGAGGAUU
RNAcentral lists this ribosomal RNA (254 nucleotides) under uncultured bacterium. RNAcentral describes it as "partial 16S ribosomal RNA". It matches the Rfam family "Bacterial small subunit ribosomal RNA", at positions 526 to 779 of the family's 1533-position model. The record is from RNAcentral.